RNAcentral lists this small nuclear RNA (107 nucleotides) under Cervus hanglu yarkandensis (Yarkand deer). Lineage: Eukaryota; Metazoa; Chordata; Mammalia; Artiodactyla; Cervidae. The record is from RNAcentral.
GUGCUCGCUUUGGCAACAUAUAUACUAAAACUGGAGUGAUACAGAGAAGAUUAGCAUGGCCCCUGCGCAACGAUGACACGCAAAUUCAUGAAGCAUUCCAUAUAUUU